This 80-nucleotide small nuclear RNA is filed under the name Triticum aestivum (bread wheat). The record is from RNAcentral. Lineage: Eukaryota; Viridiplantae; Streptophyta; Magnoliopsida; Poales; Poaceae.
GUCCCUUCGGGGACAUCCGAUAAAAUUGGAACGAUACAGUAAGGAUGACACGCACAAAUCGAGAAAUGGUCCAAAUUUUU